CACCCCUCGCCCACCCUUUCCCCUUUACCGGAGGAGAGGUGCCUGGACGGACGUGGCCGUCUCGCUUUCCCUUUACCGGGAGAGCGGGUCGGCUGAAGUGCAGGGCCCGCGGCGCGACCCGGACGAGAGGGCGCCAGCAUGGUAGGUGGCUCAACGCUGCAUGCCGCUGUCGCCUUUCAUCGCGGCCCGAAUCAAGGUCGCAUCCAAUCGUCCGCUCGGCCACCAAGCAGGAACGGUCGCUCUGUUCGCAGCAAUGCGGCGGGCGACUUCAACC
Molecule: unclassified non-coding RNA, 274 nt
Filed under: Diplosphaera chodatii
Lineage: Eukaryota; Viridiplantae; Chlorophyta; Trebouxiophyceae; Prasiolales; Stichococcaceae
Description: partial internal transcribed spacer 2
Source: RNAcentral